This 774-nucleotide long non-coding RNA is filed under the name Homo sapiens (human). RNAcentral's name for it is "HSALNT0307701". The record is from RNAcentral. Lineage: Eukaryota; Metazoa; Chordata; Mammalia; Primates; Hominidae.
CAAAUGGCUUCCACAGAACACUGGAAGGCAGAAGACAAUGGAAUGAUGCCUCCAAAAUUCCAACCUACCCACCUACACUAUCAAUCAAGUGUGAAGACUAAAAAAAGCAUUUCUGACAUGAGGUUUUAAAUUUUUACUUCUUAAGCAAGCUUUUUUAGAAAGCUACUUAAAUAUGUUCUUCACCAAAAUCAGGACAUAAAGAGGGAGGCAUGCUUUCUAGGAAAAAGAACUCAACACUACAAACAUGCAAGUCCUAGGAUGAUUGUCAUACACCAUGCCAAAACAAGAAAUCAAGACAGAGGCUAAGAGAGAGAAAUUCUCAAUUUAAAACAAAGAAAAAUGUGCUUGAAAAGGCCACUAAUUGAUCGAGGUUGUGGAGUCACCGGAGCUGGCAAAUCCCCCAUUAAAAAUCCAGUGUAUCCAAAUCAUGAGCAGCAUCUUGUGACCCUAGAAGAAAUAAAUGAUACCACCUUGAACACAAAUAUAAUCAUCUUGAACUUUUAUAUAAAUUUCUACAGCAAUUCUGUUAUUAAAAAAAAAAGACCAACAACUUGGAAGGACCUUAGUCCAACUUUCUGAAGGGCAAUUUGAUAACAGUCAUCCUACAUAAACUCCUGGACUCUGAAAUCCUACUUCUAAAAAUUUGUCCUAAAAGUUAUAGAUGUUGCAAAGAUUAGCUGUAAGGAUGUUCACCAUAGUAUUGUUUGUAAUAUAAACAAAACAAAAACAAAAGAACACUAAAAGCCCAAUAAUAGCUGUUGCAUUAAAUAAAAA